Nycticebus coucang (slow loris) is the source of this 5480-nucleotide RNA transcript. It is a transcript of the gene named DOT1 like histone lysine methyltransferase, with no coding region annotated. NCBI's taxonomy places the organism in Eukaryota, Metazoa, Chordata, Mammalia, Primates, Lorisidae. The transcript is spliced from 28 exons. The record is from RefSeq and is a predicted model, not a curated record.
CCAAGAUGGCGGCGGCGCUGAAGGCCCCGGGCCUGUGACCACAAAGAGGGAGUUGGGGGCCGGACGGGAGCGCCGCGGCAGUAGCGGCGGCCGAGGCCAGGCCCCCCUCCCCUCAGUCUCCCGCCCCUCUGUCCUGCCCGCCCACCUCCGCCUGCCCUCCCGCCGGCAGCCCCGCCCCUCCCCCCAACCGCCCGACUAGCAUGGUGCUGCGGCCGCGCUCGCUGACAUGGGGGAGAAACUGGAGCUGAGGCUCAAGUCGCCCGUAGGGGCCGAGCCCGCCGUCUACCCGUGGCCGCUGCCGGUUUACGACAAACAUCACGAUGCUGCUCAUGAAAUCAUCGAGACCAUCCGAUGGGUCUGUGAAGAAAUCCCGGAUCUUAAGCUUGCUAUGGAGAAUUAUGUUUUGAUAGACUAUGACACCAAAAGCUUCGAAAGCAUGCAGAGGCUCUGUGACAAGUACAACCGGGCCAUCGACAGCAUUCACCAGCUGUGGAAGGGCACCACCCAGCCUAUGAAGCUGAACACUCGUCCGUCCAACGGGCUCCUGCGGCACAUCCUACAGCAGGUCUACAACCACUCGGUGACCGACCCGGAGAAGCUCAACAAUUAUGAGCCCUUCUCACCUGAAGUAUAUGGGGAGACCUCCUUUGACCUGGUGGCUCAGAUGAUUGACGAGAUCAAGAUGACUGAGGAUGAUCUGUUUGUGGACUUGGGGAGUGGUGUGGGCCAGGUCGUGCUCCAGGUCGCCGCAGCCACCAACUGCAAACAUCACUAUGGUGUCGAGAAAGCAGAUAUCCCAGCCAAGUACGCAGAGACCAUGGACCGAGAGUUCAGGAAGUGGAUGAAAUGGUAUGGAAAAAAGCAUGCAGAAUACACAUUGGAAAGAGGCGAUUUCCUCUCCGAAGAGUGGAGAGAGCGGAUCGCCAACACGAGUGUUAUAUUUGUGAAUAACUUUGCCUUUGGUCCUGAGGUGGAUCACCAGCUGAAGGAGCGAUUCGCAAACAUGAAGGAAGGUGGCAGGAUUGUGUCCUCAAAACCCUUUGCACCCUUGAACUUCAGAAUAAACAGUAGAAACUUGAGUGACAUUGGCACGAUCAUGCGUGUUGUGGAGCUGUCACCCUUGAAGGGCUCGGUGUCAUGGACGGGGAAGCCGGUCUCCUACUACCUGCACACUAUCGACCGGACCAUACUUGAAAAUUAUUUUUCUAGUCUGAAAAAUCCAAAACUCAGGGAGGAACAAGAGGCAGCUCGGCGCCGGCAGCAGCGAGAGAAUAAAAGCAACGCAACCACCCCGACCAAGGUGCCAGAGAACAAGGCAGCCGGCCCCCCAGAUGCCCCUGUGGAUUCUGGUGCUGAGGAAGAUAAAGUCGGAGCCACCGCCACCAAAAAGCCGUCUCCUUCUAAAGCCCGCAAGAAGAAGCUGAAUAAGAAAGGGAGGAAGAUGGCUGGCCGCAAGCGUGGACGUCCCAAGAAAAUGAACACUGCAAACCCCGAGCGAAAGCCCAAGAAGAACCAAACUGCACUGGAUCUCCUGCACGCUCAAACUGUGUCUCAGACAGCAUCUUCCUCACCCCAGGAUGCCUACAGGUCACCUCACAGCCCGUUCUACCAGCUACCUCCGAGUGUGCAACGGCCCUCCCCCAACCCACUGCUGGGGGCGCCCACCCCACCUGCGCUGCAGAAGCUGCUAGAGUCCUUCAAGAUUCAGUACCUGCAGUUCCUGGCAUACACAAAAACCCCCCAGUACAAGGCUAACCUGCAGCAGCUGCUGGACCAGGAGAAGGAGAAGAAUGUGCAGCUGCUAGGCACGGCUCAGCAACUACUCAGCCACUGCCAGGCGCAGAAGGAGGAGAUCAGGAGGCUGUUCCAGCAGAAGCUCGAUGAGCUGGGCGUGAAGGCUCUGACCUACAACGAUCUGAUCCAAGCCCAGAAGGAGAUCUCUGCACACAACCAACAGCUUCGGGAGCAGUCAGAACAGCUGGAAAAGGACAACAGCCAGCUGCGCAACCAGAGCCUGCAGCUGCUCAAGGCUCGUUGUGAAGAGCUGAAGCUGGACUGGGCCACACUGUCCCUGGAAACGCUACUGAAGGAGAAGCAGGCUCUGAGGAGCCAGAUCUCAGAGAAGCAGCGGCAUUGCCUGGAGCUGCAGAUCAGCAUUGUGGAGCUUGAGAAGAGCCAGCGUCAGCAGGAGCUCCUCCAGCUUAAGUCCUGUGUGCCUCCUGAUGACACCCUGUCUACACACCUACGUGGGAAAGGCACCCUGAGCCGAGAUCUGGAGGCUGACCCCGGCCGGCUACACCUUGAGCUGGACUGUGCCAAGUUCUCGCUGCCCCACUUCAGCAGCAUGAGCCCGGAACUCUCCAUGAAUGGCCACGCAACCAGCUAUGAGCUCUGCGGUGCCCUGAGCCGACCCUCAUCCAAGCAGAACACCCCCCAGUACCUGGCCUCCCCCUUGGACCAGGAGGUGGUGCCUUGCACCCCAAGCCAUGGUGGCCGGCUGCGACCGGAGAAGCUGUCUGGCCUAGCUGUGCCUGACUACACUAGGCUCUCCCCAGCCAAGAUUGUGCUGCGCCGGCACCUGAGCCAGGACCAUACAGCAUCGAGCAAGGCGGCCACCAGUGAGCUUCAUCCACGAGCUGAACACACCAAGGAGAAUGGUCUUCCCUACCAGAGCCCUGGCACAUCCAACAGCAUGAAGCUAAGCCCUCAGGACCCACGGCCUCCUUCCCCUGGAGCCUUACAGCUUGCUGGGGAGAAGAACAGUGAGAAGGGUCUAAAGGAGCGUGCGUAUGGCAGCAGUGGGGAGGCUAUCACUAGCCUGCCAGUCAGCAUCCCGUUGAGCACAGUGCAGCCCAGCAAGCUUCCUGUCAGCAUCCCUCUGGCCAGUGUGGUGCUGCCCAGCCGUGCAGAAAGAGUGAGGAGUACGCCGAGUCCUGUGCCACAGCCCCGAGACUCCUCAUCCACACUUGAAAAGCAGAUUGGUGCUAAUGCCCACAGUGCUGGCAGCAAGAGCCUUGCCCUGGCUCCCACAGGUUUCUCCUAUGCUGGCUCGGUGGCCAUCAGUGGGGCCUUAGUUGGCAGCCCUGCACCACUCGCGCCUGGAGCUGAGCCUGCUACUUUUGAGGAGUCCUCCAGUUCAGGGAGUCUCUUCGCCACUGUGGCGUCCCGGAGCUCGACGCCACAGCACCCACCCUUGCUGGCUCAGUCCCGCAGCUCCCGCCCAGCCUCUCCUGCCCACCAGCUCUCCUCCAGCCCCCGGCUGGGUGGGGCCACCCAGGGCCUCCUCCCUGACAUCAGCAAGGGAGACCUGCCCUCUGACACCGGCUUUUUAGAUCCGGAGAGUGAGGCCAAGCGGAGAAUUGUCUUCACCAUCUCCACUGGCAUCAGCUGCACCAAGCAGUCACCUUCUAGCAAGCACAGCCCUCUGAAUGUGGGUGCCCGUGGGGACUGUGGGCAGAGCCAUGGACAGGACAGCCGCAAGCGGGGCCGUCGAAAGAGAGCAUCUGCUGGGACCCCCAGCCUGAGUGCAGGCGUGUCUCCCAAGCGUCGGGCCUUGCCACCUGUGGUUGGCCUCUUCACACAGCCGUCGGGGUCCCCCCUCAACCUUAACUCCAUGGUCAGUAACAUCAAUCAGCCCUUGGAGAUUACAGCCAUCUCUUCCCCUGAGAACUCCCUGAAGAGCUCCCCCAUCCCCUACCAGGACCAUGACCAGCCACCCGUGCUCAAAAAGGAGCGGCCCCUGGGCCAGACCAAUGGGGCACACUAUUCCCCACUGACCUCGGACGAGGAGCAGGGCUCGGAGGAUGAACCCAGCAGUGUCCGAAUUGAGAGAAAAAUUGCAACGAUCUCCUUAGAAAGCAAAUCUCCCCCGAAGACCUUAGAGAAUGGUGGCAGCUUGGCAGGAAGGAAGCUGGCGCCCACGUGUGAGCCUGUCAACAGCAGCAAGUGGAAGUCUACCUUCUCACCCAUCUCCGACAUUGGCCUGGCCAAGCCUGCAGACAGCCCGCUGCAGGCCAACUCUGCCCUGAGUCAGAGCUCCCUGUUUGUGCUUCGGCCCACCUUGGAAGAGCCUGGUGCCUCUGAUGCCAAGCUAGCUGCUCACCCCAGGAAAGGCUUUCCUGGCUCCUUGCCAGGGGCUGAUGGUCUCAACUCGAGCCCCAACCCUUCCCAUGGCUUUGCCUUCAGCGGGGGCCUGGCCACAGAACUUAACCUCCAUAGCUUCAGUGAUGGUGCUUCUCUCUCUCAUAAGGGCCCUGAGGCCCUGGGCUCCCCCCUGAGCUUCCCUUCACAGCGGGGCAAAGAGGCCUCGGAGACCAACCCCUUCCUCAGCAGGAGGCAGCUGGAUGGCCUGAAGGGUGAGGGCUGCAAGGGCAAGGAGGCCGGUGAGGGCGGCCCAGCCCUGUGUGGGCCUGCCGAGAAGGUGCCCCCACCACUGAGCAACAAGGCCACCAAGGGCCGUGACCGCGAGCUUGACCUCAAGAAUGGCCACAACCUCUUCAUCUCUGCAGCGGCUGUGCCUCCUGGGGGCCUCCUCAGUGGCCCCAGUCUGGCCCCGGCAGUAUCCUCUGCAGGCAGCGUGGCGCCUCCCACCCAGACUCACCGGCCCUUUUUGGGCACCUUCACCCCAGGCCCGCAGUUCACACUGGGGCCUGUGUCCCUGCAGGCCAACCUCAGCUCAGUGGCAGGCUCAUCUGUGCUACAGUCCUUGUUUAGCUCCGUGCCGGCUGCCACGGGCCUGGUACACGUGUCCUCCGCCGCCACCAGAUUGACGAACUCACACGCCAUGGGCAGCUUCUCCUCCGGGGUGACAGGCGGAACAGUUGGAGGUAGGCAGGAGUACACCUCUCCCGCCUUUCUUGGUGCCUGAGGGCAGGGUUCUGGCUCCUAGCAGGUGGCAACUCCUUCCUGGACAGCUGUCAUCAGUCACCAGUGGCCUUGCAGGUUCCCUUACAGGGUCCUCCACAGGGCAAGCAACUGUGCCCACAAUUCCCCUUGUCUGCACUGGGACCUGCUGCCUCAUUCUUGUGAAGUCCAAGAGAUGGUUUGUAUGGGCAGUGAACUCUUCCCUGAGCCACUGUCAGGUUCUCUGGUUUUAACGGCGUCCUUCUUGUUUUCAGAAGGCCACAGUGCACAUGGUCACUAGGGCAUUACUCUCUCCCAUGGAGGUCACCUGUUUAAGAGUGACCGCCCCAGGCUUUGGCACCGCCUGGGAGCUGGUGUUGUAAGAGCGAGUCCUGCGGCAGACGCAGGCGGGAGCGGAGCCAGGCUGGAACUGCGCCCUGGGCCGGGCGGGCUCCCUGCAGGGCGGGCGGCAGGUGGGCCCGGAGGGGCAGGCGCCCACGCAGGUGUCUUUAACCACGCGGUGCCUUCCGCCUCUGCUCAUCCGUUUGGAGCCCGUGUCGGCCGUGGGGCUGUGUGCGGCAGCGCCACGCUGGGCCCGAGCCCACUGCAGGCGGCGGCCAGCGCCCCGGCCUCUUCCU